CACUCUAGAGAGACUGCCAGGGAUAACCUGGAGGAAGGUGGGGAUGACGUCAAAUCAUCAUGCCCCUUAUGCUUAGGGCUACACACGUGCUACAAUGGGUAGUACAGAGGGUUGCCAAGCCGUAAGGCGGAGCUAAUCCCUUAAAGCUACUCUCAGUUCGGAUUGUAGGCUGAAACUCGCCUACAUGAAGCUGGAGUUACUAGUAAUCGCAGAUCAGAAUGCUGCGGUGAAUGCGUUCCCGGGUCUUGUACACACCGCCCGUCAAACCACGGGAGUUGGAGACGCCCGAAGCCGAUUAUCUAACCUUUUGGAAGAAGUCGUCGAAGGUGGAAUCAAUAACGGGGGUGAAGUCGUAACAAGGUAGCCGUAUCGGAAGGUGCGGCUGGAUCACCUCCUUUCUAAGGAGA
Molecule: ribosomal RNA, 407 nt
Filed under: Clostridioides difficile
Lineage: Bacteria; Bacillati; Bacillota; Clostridia; Peptostreptococcales; Peptostreptococcaceae
Description: bacterial SSU rRNA
Rfam family: Bacterial small subunit ribosomal RNA
Source: RNAcentral